Molecule: ribosomal RNA, 398 nt
Filed under: uncultured bacterium
Lineage: Bacteria
Description: bacterial SSU rRNA
Rfam family: Bacterial small subunit ribosomal RNA
Source: RNAcentral
AUAUUGGACAAUGGGCGAAAGCCUGAUCCAGCCAUGCCGCGUGAGUGAUGAAGGCCUUAGGGUUGUAAAGCUCUUUCAGUGGGGACGAUAAUGACAGUACCGGGAGAAUAAGCUCCGGCUAACUCCGUGCCAGCAGCCGCGGUAAUACGGAGGGAGCUAGCGUUGUUCGGAUAUACUGGGCGUAAAGCGCACGUAGGCGGCGCCGCAAGUCAGGGGUGAAAUCCCGGAGCUCAACUCCGGAACUGCCUUUGAAACUGCAGUGCUAGAAUCCUGGAGAGGCGAGUGGAAUUCCGAGUGUAGAGGUGAAAUUCGUAGAUAUUCGGAAGAACACCAGUGGCGAAGGCGACUCGCUGGACAGGUAUUGACGAUGAGGUGCGAAAGCGUGGGGAGCAAACAGG